UAGUUGAAUGACAACAGUGGUUUUUCGUAUCACAAGUCCAGGUUAAAGUCCUGAUGUGAAUUGUGAAUU
RNAcentral lists this transfer RNA (69 nucleotides) under Scutiger liupanensis (Liupan alpine toad). RNAcentral describes it as "tRNA-Glu". The record is from RNAcentral. Lineage: Eukaryota; Metazoa; Chordata; Amphibia; Anura; Megophryidae.